UACGUAGGUGGCAAGCGUUGUCCGGAUUUACUGGGUGUAAAGGGUGCGCAGGCGGGAGAUCAAGUCAGACGUGAAAACUAUGGGCUUAACCCAUAACGUGCGUUUGAAACUGGUUUUCUUGAGUGAAGUAGAGGUAGGCGGAAUUCCGAGUGUAGCGGUGAAAUGCGUAGAUAUUCGGAGGAACACCAGUGGCGAAGGCGGCCUACUGGGCUUUUACUGACGCUGAGGCACGAAAGUAUGGGGAGCAAACAGGAUUAGAUACC
Molecule: ribosomal RNA, 263 nt
Filed under: uncultured bacterium
Lineage: Bacteria
Description: partial 16S ribosomal RNA
Rfam family: Bacterial small subunit ribosomal RNA
Source: RNAcentral